Capra hircus (goat) is the source of this 109-nucleotide small nuclear RNA. Lineage: Eukaryota; Metazoa; Chordata; Mammalia; Artiodactyla; Bovidae. The record is from Ensembl.
GUGCUUGGUCUGGCAACACUUGUGAUAAAGUUGGAACCACAUACAAAGAAGAUUUACAUUGCCCCUGCACAAGGAUGACUCACAAAUUGGUGACUCAUUUCAUAGUUUU